CGACGUCACACAGUUUGCGGAGAAGCUAGAGCGCGCAAGUACUUCCUCAAUCGAAGGAAUCACAGAACGAGAAACGGGAGGAAGAGACCGAUCACGACAAGCAUACGGUAACAAGAAAAUACAAGUUUUCAAGUCGAGGUGGCGCAGGGACUGGUCACCAUGGCGCCCUUCUUGCGGAUCGGCUUCAACUCCUACGACCUGGGCGUUCUAUCUCCCCUGGCUGACCCCCCCUUCUGUGCCAUCAAGAUGAAGGAGGCCCUCACCACUGAGAGGGGUAAGACCCUGGUCCAGAGGAAGCCCACCAUGUACCCAGCCUGGAAGUCCAGUUUCGACGCCCACAUCUACGAGGGCCGUGUGCUGCAGGUGCUGCUGAUGAGGACGGCAGAGGAGCCUCUGGCUGAGGUCACAGUAGGAGUGUCGGUCCUCGCCGAGCGCUGCAAGAAGGCCAAUGGACGAGCUGAAUUCUGGGUGGAUCUUCAGCCUUCGGGGAAGGUGAUGAUGGCAGUGCAGUACUUCUUGGAAGGAGCUGAUCCAGAGAGUAAGCAGUCUGUGAAGGAGGAGGAAGGACCCACCAUCAACCGGAGACGAGGGGCCAUCAAACAGGCUAAGAUCCACUCCAUUAAGAACCACGAGUUUAUCGCCACCUUCUUCAGACAGCCCACUUUCUGCUCUGUCUGCCGAGAGUUUGUUUGGGGACUCAACAAGCAAGGCUACAAAUGCCGACAAUGCAAUGCAGCCAUCCAUAAGAAAUGUAUAGACAAAAUCAUUGGAAGAUGCACGGGCACAGCGGCCAACAGUCGGGACACUGUGUUCCAGAAGGAGCGCUUCAAGAUCGACAUGCCGCACCGCUUCAAGAACCACAACUACAUGAGCCCCACCUUCUGUGACCACUGUGGGAGCCUUCUGUGGGGCCUGGUCAAACAGGGGCUCAAAUGUGAAGACUGUGCAAUGAAUGUCCAUCACAAGUGUCAGGAUAAAGUAGCCAACCUCUGUGGGAUCAACCAGAAGCUACUAGCUGAAGCUCUGACACAAGUCACCCAGAAAUCCACAAGGCGCUCAGACCCAAACCAGCCAAACCUGCCAGAUAUAGGAGUCUAUGAGGAGGUCUCAAGGAACUUGGUUGCUCUGGAUGUCAACGACGGCACCCCUUAUGGCAGGCUGUGGGAGGGCUCCAGCCCCCUGCCGCCGACUCGUCUCACCCAUCUGACCCACAUGAACGUGGACAACUUCAUCCUACACAAGGUUCUGGGCAAGGGAAGCUUUGGCAAGGUCCUGCUGGCAGAGUUAAAGGGCAGUGGAGAGUACUUUGCAGUCAAAGCUCUGAAGAAAGAUGUGGUUUUGAUGGAUGAUGAUGUGGAGUGCACCAUGGUGGAGAAGAGAGUUUUAGCUCUGGCCUGGGACAACCCCUUCCUCACCCACUUGUUCUCUACCUUCCAGACUAAGGAGCAUCUGUUCUUUGUGAUGGAGUACCUGAAUGGAGGAGACCUGAUGUUUCACAUUCAAGAGAAGGGUCGCUUUGACCUUUACAGAGCCACAUUCUACUCCGCUGAGAUUGUUUGUGGCCUACAGUUUCUACAUUCCAAGGGGAUCAUCUACAGAGAUCUGAAGUUGGAUAAUGUGAUGUUGGAUCAGGAGGGACACAUCAAAAUAGCAGACUUUGGCAUGUGUAAGGAGAACGUGUUUGGAGAAAACAGGGCCACCACUUUCUGUGGGACUCCAGACUACAUCGCUCCGGAGAUCCUGCUUGGACAAAAAUACUCCUUCUCAGUGGACUGGUGGUCUUUCGGAGUGCUGCUCUAUGAGAUGCUGAUUGGCCAGUCACCUUUCCAUGGUGAUGAUGAGGAUGAGCUGUUUGAGUCCAUCAGGAUGGAUACACCCCACUUCCCCCGCUGGAUCACCAAGGAGGCCAAGGACUUGAUGGAAAGGUUGUUUGAGAGGGACCCCACUCGCCGGCUAGGCAUUGUGGGAAAUGUUCGCGUACAGCCCCUGUUCAAAAACAUCGACUGGUCGGCCUUGGAAAGGAGGGAGGUGGAACCCCCCUUUAGACCAAAAGUGAAAGCCCCCAACGACUGCAGCAACUUUGAUCGUGAAUUCCUUAGUGAGAAGCCCCGCCUCUCUCACAGCGACAAAAACUUCAUUGAUUCCAUGGACCAAUCAGCUUUCGCCGGCUUCUCCUUCAUAAACCCUGAGAUGGAGCACCUUCUGGAAAAGUGAGGAGCAGACCUUCAUACCAGUCUCCACCCUGGGCACUGACAUCCCAGAGGUCAAAGGGGAGAGGUGAAACCAGGGUUUAAUUAGUACUGUUUUAGGGUCUGUUCGUCAAGGUGUCUGUUCUGUCACGUGAUCAAACCUGCAAGUGAGUGAGCGGUACCAUGUUCAGUAUUUUGUGUGCCUGUUCUGUAGUUAAGCACAAACAGUCAUUCUCUGGUACUUGUAGAAAUCACAAGAGUAUAACUUACAGGAAUUGUCCUUUGUACAAAUAAAUAGUUUUGUGAUGCAUGCUAGGGAGUCUAGGUGUUUGUGGGCUGUAUGUAGAUGAUUCUAUUAAUUGCCACCCGCAUUUUUGGUCAUUGUUAUGACACUCACCAGUUUGAAGAGCCAACACAAGGAGCCUCCGAUUUUCUCCCAUUCCUUUGCAGUAAAACCCUGCCUAAAAAUAGAACUGAAUUCUGAUUGUUAAGAUGGCUCCUGUUUUGACACCUGGAACCUUAAAUGUGGGAUACACUCAUUGACAACAGUAUAGUACCAUCACAAGGGAUGUCUGGCCCUUCCAGUGAAUGGAGCACUUUAGUGUGUGUGGAUGAAGGUGUUUAGGUUUGUUUGAGUUAUCUGCUUGCAGGUCCAAAGACCUCACACCAACAUUCACCAUCUCUCCUACAAAUGAAUUAUUUGACUGAAUCAUUGCUUUUGGUUAUGUCGCAUGAAGAACCUUUCUCGGUCAAUAAGAAAGAUUUGUAAAAAUGUGUGGUUUACUGGUUUGUGUGCCAUCUAGUUCACUACACAGUGAACAAAAUACAAGCACAGUGGUCUGUCUAGUUAGGUAGGCUAUUAUAUUCCUGUUGUGAAAUAUCUCAUUUAUAGACAUGUAUUAUUUGAAUGAUUUGCGUACUGUUUGCGAUGCUAAACAUUGGAAAGGGACCUAUUGACAUGCUGUAUAGAUAUAUAUGUAUAUUGAUUUAACGUGUAUAUUUUGAUGCGCUUUAAUUAUGUGCUUUUUUACCGUCUCCAUCUUUUACAUCUUAUAAAAAAAAUCAUUCCAA
RNA transcript from Osmerus eperlanus (European smelt), 3260 nucleotides. It is a transcript of the gene named protein kinase C, delta a, with no coding region annotated. The record is from RefSeq and is a predicted model, not a curated record. Lineage: Eukaryota; Metazoa; Chordata; Actinopteri; Osmeriformes; Osmeridae. The transcript is spliced from 19 exons.